CUGCAGUGAUGACUAUCUUAGGACACCUUUGGAGUAACCAUGAAAAAAAAAAAAGAACUAACUGAGCGGC
Small nucleolar RNA from Erpetoichthys calabaricus (reedfish), 70 nucleotides. Its record names the gene SNORD58. It matches the Rfam family "Small nucleolar RNA SNORD58". Rfam says of the family: snoRNA U58 is found in introns 1, 3 and 6 of the ribosomal protein RPL17 gene in humans. U58 is a member of the C/D class of snoRNA which contain C (UGAUGA) and D (CUGA) box motifs. Most of the members of the box C/D family function in directing site-specific 2'-O-methylation of substrate RNAs. The record is from Ensembl. Lineage: Eukaryota; Metazoa; Chordata; Cladistia; Polypteriformes; Polypteridae.